CGUCCUACGGGGGGCAGCAGUAGGGAAUCUUCCACAAUGGACGAAAGUCUGAUGGAGCAACGCCGCGUGAGUGAAGAAGGGUUUCGGUUCGUAAAGCUCUGUUGGUAGUGAAGAAAGAUAGAGGUAGUAACUGGCCUUUAUUUGACGGUAAUUACUUAGAAAGUCACGGCUAACUACGUGCCAGCAGCCGCGGUAAUACGUAGGUGGCAAGCGUUGUCCGGAUUUAUUGGGCGUAAAGCGAGUGCAGGCGGUUCACUAAGUCUGAUGUGAAAGCCUUUGGCGCAACCGGAGAAUUGCAUCAGAAA
RNAcentral lists this ribosomal RNA (305 nucleotides) under uncultured bacterium. Its description in RNAcentral is "bacterial SSU rRNA". It matches the Rfam family "Bacterial small subunit ribosomal RNA", at positions 335 to 632 of the family's 1533-position model. The record is from RNAcentral.